UCUCAGGUGGCACAGUGGCAAAGAACCUGCCUGCAAAGCAGGAGAUUCAGGCUCGAUCCCUGAGUGGAGAA
This 71-nucleotide transfer RNA is filed under the name Bos taurus (domestic cattle). It matches the Rfam family "tRNA". Rfam says of the family: Transfer RNA (tRNA) molecules are approximately 80 nucleotides in length. Their secondary structure includes four short double-helical elements and three loops (D, anti-codon, and T loops). Lineage: Eukaryota; Metazoa; Chordata; Mammalia; Artiodactyla; Bovidae. RNAcentral also lists the same sequence under 3 other names. The record is from Rfam by way of RNAcentral.